AUGGACAUUAGAGCUAGCAAAUAUGCUCAUAAAUUGUUUAGUAUUCACCAGAAUACUUUUAUUAAGGGGAGACACAUAGUGGAUGGUAUCCUAUCUAUUCAUGAAGUUCUGCAUUAUACUCAUUUCGGAAAGCAAGUGGGAGUGGUUCUUAAACUUGAUUUCGAGAAAGCAUAUGACAAAGUCAAUUGGGAUUUUUUACUUGAUUGUCAUAGGAAGCAUGGGUUUAAUUCUAAGUGGUGCGGGUGGGUCUCUCAAAUCCUGAAAAAUGGCACGCUUAGUGUCAAGAUCAAUGAUGAGGUGGGACCUUACAUCCAAAGUGCUAAGGGGGUGAGACAGGGGGAUCCUCACUCCCCUUUCUUGUUUAAUAUUGCGGCUGACUGCCUGACCAAAAUGGUACUUGCAGCGCAAAACAAUGGUCUCAUUAAAUGA
This 429-nucleotide ribosomal RNA is filed under the name Triticum aestivum (bread wheat). RNAcentral describes it as "partial small subunit ribosomal RNA". Lineage: Eukaryota; Viridiplantae; Streptophyta; Magnoliopsida; Poales; Poaceae. The record is from RNAcentral.